RNAcentral lists this ribosomal RNA (253 nucleotides) under uncultured bacterium. Its description in RNAcentral is "partial 16S ribosomal RNA". It matches the Rfam family "Bacterial small subunit ribosomal RNA", at positions 524 to 776 of the family's 1533-position model. The record is from RNAcentral.
UACGUAGGGUGCGAGCGUUGUCCGGAAUUAUUGGGCGUAAAGAGCUUGUAGGCGGUCUGUCGCGUCUGCUGUGAAAAUCCGGGGCUCAACCCCGGACUUGCAGUGGGUACGGGCAGGCUGGAGUUCGGUAGGGGAGACUGGAAUUCCUGGUGUAGCGGUGAAAUGCGCAGAUAUCAGGAGGAACACCGGUGGCGAAGGCGGGUCUCUGGGCCGAUACUGACGCUGAGGAGCGAAAGCGUGGGGAGCGAACAGG